AGCGAACGCUGGCGGCAGGCUUAACACAUGCAAGUCGAACGGGCGUAGCAAUACGUCAGUGGCAGACGGGUGAGUAACGCGUGGGAACGUACCUUUUGGUUCGGAACAACCCAGGGAAACUUGGGCUAAUACCGGAUAAGCCCUUACGGGGAAAGAUUUAUCGCCGAAAGAUCGGCCCGCGUCUGAUUAGCUAGUUGGUGUGGUAACGGCGCACCAAGGCGACGAUCUGUAGCUGGUCUGAGAGGACGACCGGCCACACUGGGACUGAGACACGGCCCAGACUCCUACGGGAGGCAGCAGUGGGGAAUAUUGCGCAAUGGGC
RNAcentral lists this ribosomal RNA (322 nucleotides) under uncultured bacterium. RNAcentral describes it as "bacterial SSU rRNA". It matches the Rfam family "Bacterial small subunit ribosomal RNA", at positions 29 to 376 of the family's 1533-position model. The record is from RNAcentral.